Daphnia carinata is the source of this 1497-nucleotide long non-coding RNA. RefSeq lists it as uncharacterized. The record is from RefSeq and is a predicted model, not a curated record. The transcript is spliced from 4 exons. NCBI's taxonomy places the organism in Eukaryota, Metazoa, Arthropoda, Branchiopoda, Diplostraca, Daphniidae.
ACAUCUGUCGAUAGUUUCAGGCGUAGCUACUUUCAAUGUUGAGCUAUAAUUUUCAUGUUUUUUAAGGUUACCCAAACCCUUUUCGCAGACUUAUUGCUCAAAAACAUGAUUCGUUUGGCAAUGCCGAGAAUAUGGCCGUAGGUUACAACACUAAGAGUUUUGCUCGUUUUGUUCAUUUGCCAGCUGGCUUCGUUUUAGAGAAGGUGCCGGUUUCUUUCAGUCUGUGUGUGUUUUUAGGAUGUAGGCGUUCAAUUGGUUCUUUUGUGUUGUGAUUUUUGAUCUCUACAUUCUCUGAGUUAGAUCUUGACAGAAAAAGGAAUUGAAAAUAAUGGUGAAGUAGGAGACAUACAGGAAAAAAAAAUGCAGUCUGUUAUUUCAAGGGAGGAAUCUAAUAUACUCUUGCCCCCUUACUUGACGUCAACUAUGCUGUCUUCUUGGUCGAUGUCUAACAUUCGAUUGCAGCGGGCUGCUGAUCCCGUUGGAAGUAUUCUUCUAUUAGUCAGAUGGCUAACUAAGAGGCAUGCAUUGUACUAAACUGAAUGGCAGAAGUAGUUAGGUUCAUGAUGAGCUACCACGAAGGCUCGGGACACCAGGCAAUUGCAUUAUUUAUGGAUACCCAAAAGAAGAGUAGACAAGGAAUAAUUACGGCUACGAUUUCAUGUUCGGUGAUCCCGUAAUCCUUCAAGCUCUUGCGGAUGUAUGGAUUUUGAUCAAUUAUACCGAUGCGUAGGUAAAUGUAUGAUACAUUACCUAUAAAUUGCAGACGACCAGGACCUAGCAGACCCGUCAAUCCAAAAUCGGACACGGCCGAUUUUUUUAAUAUAAGGAUUUAUUAGACAUCAACGCAUUUAUCUUUUUUUGAUUUUCUAUUUUUACUUGAAUGAAGAAACAUCGUCUAACCUAAAGCCAAAAUCGCCGUACCACGAGUUCCACAGAAGAAUGGUGUUCACGUCAGUGUUCUCUAGAGUUGACAUUCCUACACGCUCACCAACACCCAGCUGACGAUAAUUGCCAUCAACGUCUCGUUUCGUACGCUGUUUCACGAAAAAAACAUUGAAUAAAUAGAAGAGCCACAACGGGUAGAUACCGCAGUGACGAUUCGGCCGAUGAAACAACGUUCGAAGUGUACGAAUGUGCAUUCUCGCUCUACAUCAUGUGCACGCAAAGCAUAGCCUGCGUUUAAUAGCUCAAACGCGUUCUUCUGGAAAUGGAACCAACAUCGGUUAACAUCGAUGGCUGUUGCCCUUCUAAACCAUGUUGAAAAACCUGGGUGCUACUGGUAUUCUUUUUCACUAUUAUUUAAUAGAAACCCCUGCUGAGAUUUCUAUUUUUAUAUUAUUACUUUUUAAAAGCUGCCCAGACUUCUUUUUUGUACAAUGUACACCAAAUUGCCUUCCACUGUUUAGUAGCCUAUGCUAAGAGGAAUAUGUCCAAUGUGGUGAAAGCGUAUGUUGGAAACACAAGCAAUUUGCAUUCUCUUAAUAUUGCAAUACAACA